This is a long non-coding RNA of Daucus carota subsp. sativus, 937 nucleotides long. RefSeq lists it as uncharacterized. The transcript is spliced from 3 exons. The record is from RefSeq and is a predicted model, not a curated record. Lineage: Eukaryota; Viridiplantae; Streptophyta; Magnoliopsida; Apiales; Apiaceae.
CUAGUCGUCCGCACAAUCCUCAAUGUUCUUGUCAAAAGUUCUAGCCACCACAAGCCCUGCGCACCAUCUUCGUUGUUCUUUAGUUUCAUUUCGCACGAAACAUUAUACACUAUAAUCAUCUCAUUGAUAUAUGUCUCUAUGUCUACUCACCUCCCACUUGUGAUUUUGAUCAUUGUGUUCGUGUGUGACAUGGGUUCUAUCAUGAUUAAACUCGCUAAAUAUUUAUUGGAGACACCACUAAGCAUUCAUUAUAUUCAGUGCUUUAAAAGAAGAAGCGCCAACCCUUCAGACGAUUUUCAGGAAGCAUUGAAACAGGCAAUGCAGGCAAUAAAAAAGAAGGAAACCAAACAAGGGAUAGAUUCUUCUUAAAGGCGGUAAAAACUUAGAAAUACCUGACUCUUAGGAUCUUUAUACAUGUUCAAGGCAAAAGUAAGAAUUCCAUAGCAUUGUUCCUGAAACUAGAGUUUCAUGCAUUCUUAAUUAUGUACUGCUAUGGUCUUAACAGAUGUGGGGUUUACACUUUGCACCCCACAGUUUUAAUUUUUUUUUUAUGAUAUGCUAGAAAUUGUUUCGCAGUAUUAUAUGCUAGAAAUUAGGGGUGUGCACGGGUCGGUUCGGUUCGGUUUCUAUCUAAAACCGUUACCGAACCGUGUAUUUCGGUUCGGUUCGGUUUUUUGGUAAAAACCGUAACCGAACCGUUUGAAACGGUUUUUUUCGGUUCGGUUAACCGUUGGUCGGUUUCGGUUUUUUCCGGUUUUUAUAUGAUUGGAAACUAGUAUAUACAAAUUUAAUACUAUAUUUAAUUUUAGAAAAAUAUCUAUAUAUUUAUAAUAUCAAUUUCUCUUAUUAAACUAUAUAAAUAAUAUAUUGUAUCACACACACAUAUAUAAUAUGUUAUAUAUAAUAAUAUAUAAUAAAUAUUAUAUUUUUUUAUAUA